CCUUACACUACAAGCUAUCACAUAUCUUGAAAAUAAACAAAAAACAUCAGAAGAAAAGCUAACUGAAUUCUAUGCUUCAUUUUCCUCUGAAGCAUACCAAAACAUGCCUACGCACACUUUCACAAUAGGGCAAACACACGUCACCUUUUUGGUAGAUUCAGGGGCAACGAUAUCUCUCAUUAGACAUGAUGCGCUAAACCCUACACCGAAGAUGAGUGCACGCUAUCUUAAAAACAGUAGGAGUUUCAGGUUCCUCAAUGACAGAAAGGUACACCACUCCACUUGCAUGCGAAGAUGAGCUACAGGGCCGUUUUAAACACUCUUUCCUGCUUUCUAAACACUGUCCCGUGAAUCUCAUGGGGAGAGAUCUGAUGUGUGCUUUGGGUAUCGGUUUAAGAUCGACUCCGGAGGGGUUAGUGGUGGUUAGGGAAGCAGCCGCAUUCAUGAAGUAUGGUAAAGAAGAUCUUUUUUACUCAUAUCACUGGCAGCUCCCCCUCACAGCUCUUGAUUCUGUAAAUCACACCCUCCUGCAGACAGCCAGAGCAUGCACAGCGCACACACGCAACACACACGCAGACAUGGUGAGAUCACAAGACCUUCAGUGCACAGCACACAUCUCCCUCGGUCCUGAUACGAGCUUUGAAAAAAACUGGUGCAGGGAGAGACAGGGACAAGAUAAACUGAGGCUUGUGCGGUUGUAUUGGAACGACAAAAUGUGUGUUGCUUCUGUAACUCUGACGGAUUCCCACUCUCAGCGUUUGUUCUUGGUACCGAACUGACCCUCAUAUUCCCUCAUGAUCAAACCAAAGGGGAAAGGGUGGCAGGAAUUGGGACCAUGGACCAGGGCAUGCAAUGAUGCAACAGGUUGAACACAGACAUCCGAUCCACAUGUUGAGUAUCACCGCCGUUUGAAAACAUACAGAAAAAGGUUUUCAGCUGUAAUAACUGCAGUACGAUCUGUUGAGCUCAUACCUGACACAAAAUGGGAUUUGUCAAAAUUUGUCAGGUCAAAUAAGGGUUGUUUUGAUUCUUUUGAUGCUUGUCAUGAAAGAUUUUUUGUUGAUGACGUCACUGAGGUACCAGAGUUAAGCCAAGUGCCAGCACACUUAUGGGCACAGCAUAAACAUGAUGUUGGGCUUAUCAAAUAUGCAGAACCUGUAAUAAUCACUCCAAAAUCUUCCUACAGGCCGUGCCAGAACCAGUAUCCCCUGAAAAAAGAGGCUGUGGAUGGCAUCAAACCAGUGCAUGAGGCACUCCACAAGGGCGGCGUCAUCGUUUCGUGUGAAAAUUCACCCGUGCGCACGCCAAUCUUCCCAGUCAAAAAGAUCAAACCAGUGGGCCAGCCCGACGAAUGGAGCUGACGAUGGAGAGGCACACGACUGUGUUGCUAUCAUUAAUGAAGUCUGCUCUCCCAGAUCUGAUCUGCAGGAAGUGCCACUUCAGAAUGCAGACCUGGAACUGUUUGUGGAUGGCUCAGCAUCAAGGGACCCAGGGACAGGAAAGAACCAAACAGGUUUUGCAGUCACAACAUUACAUGACAUUGUUCUAGCUGAACCUCUCCCCUCAAACUACUCCGCUCAAGCCGCAGACCUUGUAGCAUUAAGGAAAGCAUGCACAUUGGCCAAGGACAAGUCUGUUAACAUUUUCACAGACAGUCGUUAUGCCUGGGGAGUUUGUCAUUCAUUUGGUCAAAUUUGGGCAAACAGAAAAUUCCUGACGGCUUCAGGAAAGCCAAUUGCACAUCACACAUUGGUUGCCUCAGCACGAGACAGCUCCCAGGGACAGGUCAGUGUGAGGAUGAAAUGUUGCGUUAUUGUGCAAACCUGUCCUCUGUUCUUUCUGAUAUUCACAAACAGAUCAAGGACGCUCUGCCUGCCCCAGCAGCCCACAAACUGCAUGAUUUGGAGCCAGGGGAUUGGGUCGUCAUUCGAGAUCUCAGAAGAACUGGAGAGCUUGCAGAUGGAAUAGUCCGCUCCAAGUGCUUCUGACCACGGAGACGGCAGUGAAGAUGGCAGAGAGAGCCACCUGGGUUCACGCCAGCCACUGCAAACAGCACCAAAGUGCUUUAUUGUAGAAUAAUCAUGACUGAUGUUUGAGCAUGUCUUUUGAGCUGUGAAAAGAAUCUGUUUUCCAAGCUGACUUGAUUUUUUUAUCCUUCACUAUUACUUACGAAGGAAUUUUUUUUUUUAAUCUAGUCUGUAGCGAGCAUAGUAUGCUCAAAGGGAGGAAUUGUGAUGGGAAAAUUCCUUUUCAUUAUGGGUUGAUGAAUUUUGAACUAUUUCUUAAAAACAUUUAUCUAACUUGCUUCAUGUGACUGCAAAUGUAUGAACACCUAACCUAUGCGCUAUAUGAUUGGAAUAGAGUCACGAACCAGCCAAAACUCAGAUAGAAAGUCGCCUUCUUGUCUCAUGUUUUAUGUCUGAUAAUUUUAUGCUUUAACUUUAUGUCUUGUGUCGAUGAGAAGCCUGUCUGAUUGGGAUAGUC
Molecule: RNA transcript, 2484 nt
Organism: Acanthopagrus latus (yellowfin seabream)
Lineage: Eukaryota; Metazoa; Chordata; Actinopteri; Spariformes; Sparidae
Exons: 2
Source: RefSeq, a predicted model, not a curated record